Molecule: long non-coding RNA, 6532 nt
Filed under: Eucalyptus grandis
Lineage: Eukaryota; Viridiplantae; Streptophyta; Magnoliopsida; Myrtales; Myrtaceae
Description: long non-coding RNA (EGRA_LNC006416)
Source: RNAcentral
AAGAUUAGGGGAGUCUGUCAGACAGCCGUGCGACCAUCCCAACCGGAUCACUCCGGCUGAGAACGAUCCUCUACAGCUCAAAUGGAUCCAGCAGGACCCAACAGAGCCGUUAAUCACGCUCUGGAUACACGGCCAUGAUUCAUCCACCAGACUUUGGUUCCUGUCUCCUUAGGUCUCAAGGACACAGAGGUACGAGCCUAUAGAACAGAUCCUGUUCAAGUAAGGUCGUGGCCUAUCCUUCUCACUGCCCUUUUUAAAUACCGAUUAUUCCUCGAGUGCGCUCUCGAUGUGGGACUUUAGGAGGUCGUGCGCGUUAAGCGCACUCAUCCCACAACCUCCCUCCCCUGUUUCUUCUCUCUUUUUUUCCCCGUCUGCUUUUAUGUUUGUUGUGUCGCAGCUUAGCUAGGGGCGAUUUGCAGUGUUCUCAUUUGCAGGUUAUUUGCGUUCAACAGAGAACGUAACUUUUCCUGAGUGUAAAAGUGAACGAUGCUUUGCUGCGACAGACCCGAAGAGUCGUUUGUCUUUUUCGAGUAGGGGAGAGAUGCAUUGUACGGCUGAUAAUCAAUGGAUGCCGAUUGGGCUCGGUAUAAUCCAACACAGUUUUCAAGCCCACUUGAGAGAGAGAGAGAGAGAGAGAGAGAGAGAGGAGGAUACAGAUUAUUAUUUUUAUAAGACUCUUUACCUUUAUCUUGGAGGAUUGUAGGAGGAGACAUGUCACUUCCUCCCUCCUUUCCUCCUCUUUUUUUCUUUCCCUCUUUUUUUUACUAAUUCAUUUCGAUUUUAACUUUAUUUUUCCAAGUAUCAAUAAAAGAUGAAAAUUAUGAGCCAAUUAUAAAAUUAUUUACAAAUAUUUCAAGGCUCAAUAGCUCAUAUUUGCAAGUGUAAUUGUCCGAACGAAUUAGGUUAUGUAUUCAUUUUGAAUAAUUAAUUUUGAACAAAGAUAUUGGUCAACUAGAUAAGCUGAAUCAAAUUAGUAUUUAACAAUAUCAUAUUAAAAUUAGAUUAGUUUCAUAAUUUCCUUAUCUUAGGCCAUCCUCAACUAUCAUAUACUUUUCAUAAUCUUCUUUUCCUUUCAUGACUACAAAAAUAAGCAAUGUUGUUUUCCUUAUAUUUUAUAUUCUAAUUUAAUAUAUAUAUAUACAAAAGAAAUUGCUCAUAUGAUCACCAAAGAUCAAAGAAAUAAUUUCUCAUUUGAAAUUUUACAAAAAUAAAACAAAUGAGAGAAAUUAUGGUUUAUUUUGUAUCUAUGAAAACCAUAAAUAUUACAAAUAAUUUAAAGGAAUUGAUAUUAAGAAAAAUAUCCAAUCUUUCGAAUGUUAUGUGUGUAUACAUAUAUAAGUUUUGCAUCUAAAAGAAAUCAGCAAAUCUCUAUAAGUAAUUUAGAAUAAUUAAUUUCGAAGAAAGAUUCCCAUUUUUAAGUGUUAUGGAGGUAUAUAUUUCAUGGUUCAUUUUGUAUUUAUAUGAAAUCAUAAGAUCUCUACAAGUAACUAAAAAGAAGUAAUUGCAAGGGAAAGAUUCACGCUUCAAAUUAUCUUAUUAUGCAUCCAAACAUGGUAGUAAUCACUUCAUCUUAAUUCUUUUAGAAAAAAACAUUUAUAUACACUUCACAUCAUCUUACUUAGACCACUAACAAAGUAAAGCAUAAAAGUUGAGUACUAUUAGAAGAUAAUAUAAAUAUUUAUGAAAAAAAGUACUUUCAUUAUUGGUCAACCUUACAACAUUAGCCAACAAAAUUAUAUGCGAAGCACGGCUGACAAGACUAGUGAAAUUAAUGAAAAUGAAGAUAGUUGACGAUGAUGCAAAUCAUAAAUUCACACAAGUGAACAGAAUACAAAAUCUUAAUUACUUAUACGAUUAUCCAGCUUGAGAGUAAGAUAGUUUUAGUACUUUUUUUUGCUAUGAUUAUUGGCUUUUAAUCGAAAGGCCAAGCCUCCUCAAAUAUGGUGAUUCGGUCCCGUCUAAUCUAAUAUAUUGUCUGUAGUCAAAGUCGAAGCUGAAAAAAUAGCUGCUCUAAUGCUCUACCACAUGACACUUCAUUUUGCUUCCGAAACUACCAUGUAAAAUUUAUAUAUUCUAUUUAUAUUGAGUUUAAACUUAAAAAAGUAUAAACUAGAGAAAAGUAUUUUAAAUUAAACUCUCCAUUGACAUUUUUUUUUUCAAUGUAAUUUCUUAGACGUAUUUGUAAACAGCAAAAUUUAAGCCAUAAAAUGCUGCAUAUAUAUUUCAGUGCUUAAUUUUGAUUUGCAAGCAUAACUCUCCAAUCAAAUCAGGACAUGUAUACAAGGUAGAACAAUUAAACUUGAACGAGAAUAUCGAUCGAUUGGAUAAGCUAAAUCAAAUUAGCAUUAUCCACAUGAUUUUAACAAUUAAUUCAAUAUUGGUUGAAAAAACUAAAAUUUGGUCUAAUCUUUCUGGAGCAAUGGAAAUUUCGAAUAGUUGACCAUGAUCAUUUUGCACUAUUUGAAUAUAAUCUUUCUAGGAAGAGCUUUCGCCUUGCUUGUAUCGCAAUGUACAUGAAUAGACAAUCGAUAAUGGAAUGAUAAUAUACGAGAUGGAGCUUGGAUAGAGAAAGUGAACUCCACCAUAGUCCAAUGACCCAAAGGCCAUACUCUAAACCCAAAAAAUGUUUAAAUGUUUGAAAUGGACUUUGUGAUGCCCAAAUGCAGGUCCUAGUGGAAGAGAUCCUCUGAUAAUUGAGGGUGGUUUGAGUCUGACCCAAAAGAAAAAACAAAGAAACUUGAACUCAUUCCAAGAUUCAUCCGUUGCGUCUUGUACUAUCUUGAUGUUUGCAUUGGGCUCUUCUCGACCUUCCACUGAUAAAUGUACUGUCUUGAAACAUUGCGCAAGUCAGUUUUUAAGGAGAAAAACGUAUGUUGUGACACGUUCUUCUUGUGAUGGCCACAAAUGAAAACGUGCUCUCCUGAUGACCAAAAAAAAAAAAUUGUACAAUGGCCCAACACUCCAAUGCACUUAUAUGCAGUGUCGGUGGAAUAUAGGUUGGUCUUAAAACUUCAUGGGCAAUGAGUGGUCCAAAGACCAUCCAAUUGAUUGGCUCAUUUUGUAAUUCCCGACAGAUACAAGGCAUCGGCCCAGGAAGAGCAACGUCAACUCCUAAUAGAUUCACUGAACUUUAGGAGCCCAUGAUCAUCCCCUCUGCAUCUUCAAAACCCAGUAAACCAAUAAGACAGCAAAAGAAAGUGCUAAAAUUGGAUGAUGGAUCCACUCAAAUAGAUAAAAUUAUCUCCAACACAACAUGGUAAAAAAAUCUGUCACGGGAUUAAAAUCAACAAUCGCCAUCUCCGAAACAAGCCAAAAAUGACCACAACCACACAUUUUAUGUCCAUUUACCCAGAAAUGUUAUCACUAUCUCUGAAACAACACAAUAAAAGAUCUAUCGCACGGUUGAAAUUAGCAAUCGCUAACUCUUGUUCAUCCAUUGUUGUCCACCAUCAAAAUAGGCAGAAAGUUUGAUGCAACAAGCAAGACACACAUGCUGUAAAUGUCAAGCCUGAACUCGAAUGUUCAGACCAGCGUUUUGGUUAUGGUAGUUUGCACAAACCUUAUGCACAUAAGUUUCCCUUGGUUGUCUUUACCAAUUCAUCGAGCAGUCUGUUGUCAUUAACAAGGCAUCGAAGACCACAUAUCUUCACUAAAGAUGUGAAAUAUGCAUACACCAAAAUACGCACUGACACCGACACCUAGUUCAAUUGGGUCAUUCUACACUGAAGUUAUAAGCAUUCCCUUCAACCAUCCUCUCCACUUGCGACAUAUCAGGAUCCACAUGCCCACCUGUUCCGGCCACGUCACUUUGGACGCAAGUCUCUUCGUAGUUCAUCACCACUGCCAGUCCAAAAUCUGAGAGAGCCACUUGGUAUUUCUCAUCCAACAGUUCAUUCAAAGCUUUAAUAUCUCGAUGGAUGAUCUCGGGAUCGCAGUCUUCAUGCAAGUAAGCUAGCGCCUUGGCAACUCUGGUCGCAACCCUCAUCCUUACUGACCAUUCCAGGGUGGUCCCCCGAUCUAAAAGAUUUGACCAAGAUGAUCUCAAGUGAUGUGCUACGCUUCCUUGAGGCAUAAACGGAUAGACUAGAAAUAGUUCUGUAUGAUGCAAAACCCAAGCAGACCGAGCACAUUGCGGUGCUUGACUAUGCUGCUCACUUUCAGUUCUGUCAGGAACUCUGCGAGGUUGCUUCCUCCCAAUCUCUUGACGGCUACUAAAGAACCGUCCACUAAGCUUCCCUUAUAAACCGUAGAAAAUCCACCCUACCCAGAACACGAGCAAAAUUAUUCGUCAUAAUUUGCACCUCACGUAGAGAAAACCUCUUGGCUAGUCUUAGAUGACUCUGCAGAUCCUCUUGACAAGGUAUACAAUACCCCGGUUGCUUCUUCAGGACUUGCCGCCACCAAGGAAGCUUGCUUGGUGGGGCCAGGCACGAAGAAUCAGAGGGCGCUGCAUCACCUUUCACAAUAGCCCUCACAAACCUCAACUUGCUUUGCCAGAGGACAGCCACAGAGGAGGACUCGCUGGUGGCAACAAGCCCGGGCGGGUAUUGAACCUGUCUUCUAUGUAACUGGAGCCUAGCUUGAACAACAUUUGAAACCCAGAUAAGCAAGUGUCGCUUUGGACCUCUCAGAGUUCUGAUGCAAGAAUCGCUCGAUUGGUGGGAAAAGAUUACGAGAAUGAGAAUGAGGUAGUUGUAUCAAAGUCUUUGAUCCAUCAUUCCAGGCUGAACUGAGGGAAUUACUAAUGGCCAUGGCCACGGAUCAUCUACGUAGCUUCCACAUUUCAGUUCGACUGUUUUUGCCCACCAAUCCCACUCGUUUUGGCAAGUUUUUCAGAGUAUAGACAUCACAACACAAGAGACACCAUUUUUCAUUGAAAUGGUUGAAAGACUUUGAGCCGAUAACUUUAACCAGCCAUUGAUUAAUCAAAGGUUGUGGUUUGAACUUGGAAGUGGUUGAACUUCUAUAAUUCCCAUUUAUGCCUUCGACUCAGAUUCUGGAAAUUACUCUACAAUCAACCGUAAUCUCAAUAACCUCUGUGAAACAGCGGCCAAAGGGUUAAAUAUGAAGUCAGUCCGUCAGACAGACAUGUGACCACUCCAGCCAGAGACUCCAGCGGAGAUCAAUCCUCUUAUGGCUCUGAUGGGUCCAUACUGACCACGCUCCGAUCGUGAUGGUUUUAAUUGAUAUACUUAUGUUAUGAACUCGUUAUGAUUGGCUUUUAAAGGGCCCUCGCAAGUGAAGGUUUGGUCCCAAUUCUGAUGCUGCUGUUUCUUUUGAAUCUUUGAAUACUAGAGUUGCUUGGUUUUGGCCUGAAGGCUAGAUCCAGAUAAGAAGAAUUGGAUCCACGCUAAUACAGACAUGCUCAUACAAUUGGCAAAUGCUUAAUCUAAACAAUCUCAAAAAGACAAUAAUCAAACAGUUGAUAGGAUCGGACACUUUCUGCUGUCUUAAGCACAUGAUAUAUGCUGCGAAAUUAAUCAAGAAGUGGAAAGAUUGGCACAGACUAGUGCUGAUUAAUUCUUGCAUUUCUUGACACUGCUUCAGUGGACGUCCGAAUGGAGCUUGUGUUCUGUGAACCUGAAGGUCAGGUAAGAGAAUAUUUGAGUUUUGUUGUACUCAUGCCAGAAACAUCUGGAGCAGAAUCCUUUUUUCAGAUCAACUUUAAUAGGCAUUUCAAGGAAGCAAAAGAAGAAUCAGACAUCAUGAAGUCCUUAGUGUUCACUGUUCUGGCAUCCGAGAACAUUAAAGACAACUUGGUCGGGACACCGAUUUAAUUUGCCUUUGCCUUUCCCUACAUUCGAUAAAAUAUAUGUAGACCAGAUGAAAAAUGAAACAAAGUUGUUCGUAGCUGCCGAAUUAUAAAUUUUAAUUAUACAGAGAGAGUGUUGCACUUGUCCCGCACUACAACACAUGACAACAGCGAUUUUCCUCUCUUAAAUUGGAAAACAUAAAACUAGAAGGCGAAGAACUUUGGAAAAAUCCACCCCUACCUGGAACGGAACUCGGGAGAACAGUCACGAGUUCCACCUCACGAAGAGAAAACCUUUUUUGACUAGUCUUGCAUGAUUUUGCCGAUGCUCUUCAGGAAGUUCUAUCUUCUUGAGCCAUCCACCAGUGUCCUUUAUCAACUCAGUGAUUCACCUGUAACCAAAUAAAUAAAUAAAUAAAAAGAAAAAAAGAGGGGAGUCUGUCAGACAGCCGUGUGACCAUCCCAGCCCCAGUGGGCUGAGAACGAUCCUCUACAGCUCAAAUGGAUCCAAGCAGGACCCAGAAGAGCCGUUAAUCACGCUCUGGUUACACGGCCAUGGUUCAUCCACCAGACUUUGGUUCCUGUCUCCUUAGGUCUCAAGGACACAGAGGUACGAGCCUAUAGAACAGAUCCUGUUCAAGUAAGGUCGUGACCUACUCCCCUUGCUCCCCUGCUUAAAUACCGAUUGUUCUUCGAGAGCGCUAUCGAUGUGGGACUUUAGGAGGUCACGCGCAUAAAGCGCACUCAACCCACCACCUCCCUCCACCGGUUUCUUCUCUC